This 779-nucleotide ribosomal RNA is filed under the name uncultured Tomentella. Its description in RNAcentral is "eukaryotic LSU rRNA". The stretch from base 232 to 385 matches the Rfam family "5.8S ribosomal RNA". Lineage: Eukaryota; Fungi; Basidiomycota; Agaricomycetes; Thelephorales; Thelephoraceae. The record is from RNAcentral.
AGGUUCGUAGUGAACGUGGGAAGGAUCAUUACUGAACUGUCGACACGAGUUGUUGCUGGUCCUCAAACGGGGGCAUGUGCACGCUCUGUUUACACACCCACUCACACCUGUGCACCCUCUGUAGUUCUGUGGUGUGGGGGACUCUGUCCUCCCGCUGUGGUUCUAUGUCUUUACACACACACUGUAAUAAAGUCUUAUGGAAUGUGUACCGCGUCUAACGCAAUACAAUACAACUUUCAGCAACGGAUCUCUUGGCUCUCGCAUCGAUUAAGAACGCAGCGAAAUGCGAUAAGUAAUGUGAAUUGCAAAUUCAGUGAAUCAUCGAAUCUUUGAACGCACCUUGCGCCCUUUGGCUAUUCCGAAGGGCAUGCCUGUUUGAGUAUCAUGAACACCUCAACUCUCAUGGCUUGCCAUGAUGAGCUUGGACUUUGGGGGUCUUGCUGGCCUACAGCCAGCUCCUCUCAAUGAAUCAGCUUGCCAGUGUUUGGUGGGAUCGCAGGUGUGAUAACUAUCUACGCUUGUGGCUUUCCACCAGGUAACCUUCAGUGAUGGAGGUUCGCUGGAGCUCAUAAAAUGUCCCUCCUCAAGCGAAGGGACCAGCUUCUUUUACAUGUUGGAUCUCACAUCAGGUAGGACUACCCGGUUGAAACUUAGCCUUAUCAAUAGCGGCAGGAAAAGAAACUAAACAAGGAUUCCCNUUGUAACUGGCAAGUGAAGCGGGAAGAGCUCAAUUUAAAUCUGGCGUGCCCCUGGUCCGUCGAUUGUAGCGGGAAACGUUC